UUAAUUGGAUUGAGCCUUGGUAUGGAAACCUACCAAGUGAUAACUUUCAAAUUCAGAGAAACCCUGGAAUUACAAAUGGGCAAUCCUGAGCCAAAUCCUGUUUUCUGAAAACAGACAAGUAUUCAGAAAGUGAUAAUAAAAAAGGAUAGGUGCAGAGACUCAAUGGAAGCUGUUCUAACAAAUGGAGUUGGCUGCGAUGCGUUAGUAAAGGAAUCCUUCCAUCGAAACUCCAGGAAGGAUGAAGAAUAAACCUAUAUAUACGUAUACGUACUGAAAUACUAUCUCCAAACCAAAUGAUUAAUGACGACCCGAAUAUUUUUUUGAUAGAUCUUUUGAAAAAUGAAAAUUAAUCGGACGAGAAUAAAGAUAGAGUCCCAUUNUACAUGUCAAUAUCGACAACAANGAAAUUUAUAGUAAGAGGAAAAUCCGUCGACUUUAGAAAUCGUGAGGGUUCAAGUCCCUCUAUCCCCA
This 471-nucleotide non-coding RNA is filed under the name Stenanthemum complicatum. RNAcentral describes it as "partial transfer RNA-Leu(UAA)". The stretch from base 1 to 396 matches the Rfam family "Group I catalytic intron". From Rfam's summary of the family: Group I catalytic introns are large self-splicing ribozymes. They catalyse their own excision from mRNA, tRNA and rRNA precursors in a wide range of organisms. The record is from RNAcentral. Lineage: Eukaryota; Viridiplantae; Streptophyta; Magnoliopsida; Rosales; Rhamnaceae.